AACGCGAAGAACCUUACCCAGGCUCGAAAUGUAAUGGACGAUAUCAGAGAUGAUAUUUUCCGCAAGGACUAUUAUAUAGGUGCUGCAUGGCUGUCGUCAGCUCGUGCCGUGAGGUGUUGGGUUAAGUCCCGCAACGAGCGCAACCCUUAUCAUUAGUUGCCAACACGCGAGGUGGGGACUCUAAUGAGACUGCCUGGGUUAACCAGGAGGAAGGUGAGGAUGACGUCAAGUCCGCAUGGCCUUUAUGUCUGGGGCUACACACGUGCUACAAUGGUCGGUACAGAAGGCAGCAAGACCGCAAGGUGGAGCAAAUCCGUAAAGCCGAUCACAGUUCAGAUUGUAGUCUGCAACUCGACUACAUGAAGUUGGAAUUGCUAGUAAUGACGUGUCAGCAACAACGUCGUGAAUACGUUCCCGGGCCUUGUA
Molecule: ribosomal RNA, 426 nt
Filed under: uncultured Chlamydiae bacterium
Lineage: Bacteria; Pseudomonadati; Chlamydiota; Chlamydiia
Description: bacterial SSU rRNA
Rfam family: Bacterial small subunit ribosomal RNA
Source: RNAcentral